UUCCAUUCCAAGUUUUCUGAGGAAUCUCCAUACUGCUUUUCAAAAUGGUUGCAACAUUUUGCAGUCCCACCAGAAAUGUAUAAAUGUACCUUUUUUAAAAUAUUUUUUUUAGUUACCAGUGGACCUUUAUUUUUAUUAUAUGCAAUGCUGAGAAUCAAACCCAGUGCCUCACACAUACUAAGCAAAUGUUCUACCACUGAGCCACAACCCUAGCCCUGAGUGUUCCUUUUCCCUCAUAGCCUCACCAACAUUUAUCGUUGCUUGUAUUCUUGAUAAUUGUCAUUCUGACUAGAGUGAGAUGAAAUCUCAGUGUAGUUUUGAUUUGCAUUUCUGUAAUUGCUAGAGAUGUUGUACAUUUUUUUCAUAUGUUUGUUGAUCAAUUGUAUUUCUUCUGUGAAGUGUCUGUUCAGUUCCUUAGCCCAUUUAUUGAUUGGGUUAUUUGUUUUGGGAGUGUUAAGUUUUUUGAGAUCCUUACAUAUCCUGGAGAUUAAUGCUCUAUUUGAGGUGCCUGUAGUAAAGAUUUUCUCCCAUUCUGUAGGCUCUCUUUUCUUAUUAUUGUUUUCUUUGCUGAGAAGAAGCUUUUUAGUUGGAAUCCAUUCCACUAGAACAGAGACCCUGCACCUAAUAGAAAUAGCACAAGAAAAGAAUCAACAAGUGGAAUUGAUUCAAACCAAAAUCUUAAUCCCUAAUAUAGUACCAUUUUAUUAACUGUUGUCCUCAUGAUUUCUAGAUCUGUUCAUCUUUCAUGUCUGCUGUUUUGUGUCUUUUGACCUAUUCUCUUCAUUUCCUCUUUCCCCACCCACUCAUGGUUACCACUGUUUCAUUCUCUGUAUUAAAAUAUGGAUCAUUUUACACAUUAUUCCAUCAUAAAUCAUUCCAAAUCAGAUGUGGUUUGUAGUCUGUGAUUUAGAAUUCCUUUGUAAGACUCCAUCUGUUUCUCCAGAAAAGGUCAGUGUGCUGAAAUUUCCAUGAAUAAGAGACUAUUGAAGAGCUGGUUGUGAACAAUAUGUAAUCCGCUAGUUAAUCUUGAAAGGCUACAAAACCUGAUUGUUAGGCUUGCUUCUGCCUCCCUCUAAUUCCCUCUCAUUUCUUGUUUUUGUCUUAUCUUUUCAUUCCCUCUUUCGUCCCAUUUCAACUGUUUAAUUAUUCCCAUUAAUCAUAACAUAAUUUAAUUAAAGUUUUUGUUUAAGCCUGUUAUUUUAAUUUUUAUAAACUUUGUAUUAAAAUAUAAUAUGCAUGAAGUGUAUAGAUCAUAAGCAUACACUUUGCUGGAUUAUUUGAAAGACAGCACCCAUGUAACCACCAGCCAUGCAAAGAAAUAGAAUAUUACCAACACCCCAGGAGCCCCUUUGUCCAUCUUUCCUAUUAUUACAUGCUCCCUCCUCCUAAAGGUAACCAUCAUCCUGGCCUUUAACACCAUAGAUUACUUUUGCCAUUUUUGAAGUUUAUGUACCAAGUGUAUUCAUUUGUUUCUGGCUCUUUCACAUUUACUUCCUCUUUCACAUUCCAUGGACAGACAUUUUUAUUUUGUUAUCAUCA
Molecule: long non-coding RNA, 1539 nt
Filed under: Marmota monax (woodchuck)
Lineage: Eukaryota; Metazoa; Chordata; Mammalia; Rodentia; Sciuridae
Source: RNAcentral